Molecule: ribosomal RNA, 533 nt
Filed under: Colletotrichum gloeosporioides
Lineage: Eukaryota; Fungi; Ascomycota; Sordariomycetes; Glomerellales; Glomerellaceae
Description: eukaryotic LSU rRNA
Rfam family: 5.8S ribosomal RNA (bases 173-326)
Source: RNAcentral
CUGAGUUUACGCUCUACAACCCUUUGUGAACAUACCUAUAACUGUUGCUUCGGCGGGUAGGGUCUCCGCGACCCUCCCGGCCUCCCGCCUCCGGGCGGGUCGGCGCCCGCCGGAGGAUAACCAAACUCUGAUUUAACGACGUUUCUUCUGAGUGGUACAAGCAAAUAAUCAAAACUUUUAACAACGGAUCUCUUGGUUCUGGCAUCGAUGAAGAACGCAGCGAAAUGCGAUAAGUAAUGUGAAUUGCAGAAUUCAGUGAAUCAUCGAAUCUUUGAACGCACAUUGCGCCCGCCAGCAUUCUGGCGGGCAUGCCUGUUCGAGCGUCAUUUCAACCCUCAAGCUCUGCUUGGUGUUGGGGCCCUACAGCCGAUGUAGGCCCUCAAAGGUAGUGGCGGACCCUCCCGGAGCCUCCUUUGCGUAGUAACUUUACGUCUCGCACUGGGAUCCGGAGGGACUCUUGCCGUAAAACCCCCCAAUUUUCCAAAGGUUGACCUCGGAUCAGGUAGGAAUACCCGCUAAACUUAAGCAUAUCA